Molecule: ribosomal RNA, 253 nt
Filed under: uncultured bacterium
Lineage: Bacteria
Description: partial 16S ribosomal RNA
Rfam family: Bacterial small subunit ribosomal RNA
Source: RNAcentral
UACGAAGGGUCCAAGCGUUAUCCGGAUUUAUUGGGUUUAAAGGGUGCGUAGGCGGCUUAUUAAGUCAGUGGUGAAAGACUUCAGCUUAACUGAAGAACUGCCAUUGAUACUGAUGAGCUUGAAUAUACUUGAGGUGGGCGGAAUGUGUCAUGUAGCGGUGAAAUGCUUAGAUAUGACACAGAACACCGAUUGCGAAGGCAGCUCGCUAAAGUAUGAUUGACGCUGAGGCACGAAAGCGUGGGGAGCAAACAGG